UCCGUAGGGUGCGAGCGUUGCCCGGAUUUAUUGGGCGUAAAGGGCGCGUAGGCGGUGAGAUGCGUCUGUUGUGAAAUCGCUCGGCUCAACUGGGCGGGGUCAGCGGAUACGGUCUCACUUGAGCAAGCUAGGGGGCAAUGGAAUUCCCGGUGUAGUGGUGGAAUGCGUAGAUAUCGGGAGGAACACCAGUGGCGAAGGCGGUUGCCUGGGGCUUUUUGCUGACG
Molecule: ribosomal RNA, 224 nt
Filed under: uncultured bacterium
Lineage: Bacteria
Description: partial 16S ribosomal RNA
Rfam family: Bacterial small subunit ribosomal RNA
Source: RNAcentral